GACAGAGGUGCCGAGCGUUAGGCGGAAUCACUGGGCUUAAAGCGUGUGUAGGUGGAUGUCUAAGUACCUUGUGAAAUCCCACGGCUUAACCGUGGAACUGCUCGGUAUACUGGAUGUCUUGAGCCAGCUAGGGGCUACCGGAACAAAUGGUGGAGCGGUGAAAUGCGUAGAUAUCAUUUGGAACGCCAAUGGUGAAAACAGGUAGCUGGGGCUGUGCUGACACUGAGACACGAAAGCCAGGGGAGCGAACGGGAUUAGAUACCCCGGUAGUCCUGGCCGUAAACGAUGUCGACUAGAUCGUAGUGGCUCUGACGCUAUUACGGUCGAAGCAAAAGUGCUAAGUCGACCGCCUGGGAAGUACGGUCGCAAGGCUAAA
RNAcentral lists this ribosomal RNA (376 nucleotides) under uncultured bacterium. Its description in RNAcentral is "bacterial SSU rRNA". It matches the Rfam family "Bacterial small subunit ribosomal RNA", at positions 524 to 898 of the family's 1533-position model. The record is from RNAcentral.